This 250-nucleotide ribosomal RNA is filed under the name uncultured Staphylococcus sp. Its description in RNAcentral is "partial 16S ribosomal RNA". It matches the Rfam family "Bacterial small subunit ribosomal RNA", at positions 90 to 334 of the family's 1533-position model. Lineage: Bacteria; Bacillati; Bacillota; Bacilli; Caryophanales; Staphylococcaceae. The record is from RNAcentral.
CGUUAGCGGCGGACGGGUGAGUAACACGUGGGUAACCUACCUAUAAGACUGGGAUAACUCCGGGAAACCGGGGCUAAUACUGGAUAACACAUGAAACCGCAUGGUUUCAUGAUGAAAGACGGUUUUGCUGUCACUUAUAGAUGGACCCGCGGCGUAUUAGCUAGUUGGUAAGGUAACGGCUUACCAAGGCAACGAUACGUAGCCGACCUGAGAGGGUGAUCGGCCACACUGGAACUGAGACACGGUCCAG